ACGUUUGUUUGUUGUUUUUGAAACCAGUUGAUAAUUUGCAAGUGAUAUGGAUGCUGAAAUUUUUAUUUCACUUCUUCAGCAACUACCAGUGCUGUGGAACUAAUUCUGUGAUGCAAAUUUCUGCUCAAAGUGAAGCAAUGGUCACAGGUGCACGAUGUCAUCAUUGAGCAUAUUGCCACGGACUAUGUUAUUAACGCAACAUCCCUUAUUUGAAAUUAUUAUUGAACGAGUUCGGGGAUGUCAAACAAAUCACCAAUUGAUUCAUCGAGGGGCGGAUUUUGAGCGAAUUUAUCGUGUUUUACUGUAAUAAUGAAAUAAAAAACACUCUAGAAUGAAUGGAUGUGCAUACAUUCCCUUGUAGGUAAAUUCCUAAAUAAUCACAGAAAGUGAACACAUUAUACAUAUAAAUAAAUAGUGCCUCUAGCUUGUUA
Long non-coding RNA from Toxorhynchites rutilus septentrionalis, 431 nucleotides. RefSeq lists it as uncharacterized. Lineage: Eukaryota; Metazoa; Arthropoda; Insecta; Diptera; Culicidae. The record is from RefSeq and is a predicted model, not a curated record. The transcript has 2 exons.